AACGAGGCCGACCUGCGGCUGAGUUACCUGCGGAGGGAUCAUUACAAGUGACCCCGGUCUAACCACCGGGAUGUUCAUAACCCUUUGUUGUCCGACUCUGUUGCCUCCGGGGCGACCCCGCCUUCGGGCGGGGGCUCCGGGUGGACACUUCAAACUCUUGCGUAACUUUGCAGUCUGAGUAAACUUAAUUAAUAAAUUAAAACUUUUAACAAUGGAUCU
This 219-nucleotide unclassified non-coding RNA is filed under the name soil metagenome. RNAcentral describes it as "partial contains 5.8S ribosomal RNA, internal transcribed spacer 2, and large subunit ribosomal RNA". The record is from RNAcentral.